AUGAGUAGCACCAGAACUUUCUCGCCGGCGGUGGUGGCGGCAGCGCAGCAGCAUGUCCGCGCGCCGCGCGGUGGGCUGCCGCGGCCGAGGCGACCCACCAGGCAGGCGGCCGGCUCGCCGGGCCAACGGUCCGCGGGUGGCGGCGGCGACGCCGCGUGGGGGCAAGCGGGGCGCAGCUGGUGGGGCGCUGGAGGUGGAUUGCCAGCGGCCGCGUCGUCGAGGCGGCAGCCGUGCAGGGCUGGCGCUGGCCGGGCGCCGGCGGGGAACCGGGAGCUGGUGCGGCGGGCGCUUUCGCCGCCGGCCACGGGCGCGCGCGGCGCGGCGCUGAGGAGGUGGAGCUUCCGGCCCAUGCCGAGCCGGCUGCGCAACGGGUCGUGCUUGACCUCGACGGCGGCCCCUGCAUCCCCACGGCCAUCGUGA
RNAcentral lists this ribosomal RNA (420 nucleotides) under Triticum aestivum (bread wheat). Its description in RNAcentral is "partial small subunit ribosomal RNA". Lineage: Eukaryota; Viridiplantae; Streptophyta; Magnoliopsida; Poales; Poaceae. The record is from RNAcentral.